AGCGAACGCUGGCGGCAGGCCUAACACAUGCAAGUCGAGCGGCCGUAGCAAUACGGCAGCGGCAGACGGGAUAGUAACACGUGGGAACGCGCCCUUCGGUUCGGAAUAACUCAGGGAAACUUGAGCUAAUACCGGAUACGCCCUUACGGGAAAGAUUAUCGCCGAGAGAUUGGCCCGCGUCUGAUUAGCUAGUUGGUGUGGUAAAAGACGCACCAAGGCGACGAUCAGUAGCAGUCUGAGAGGAUGAUCAGCCACAUUGGGACUGAGACACGGCCCAAACUCCUACGGGAGGCAGCAGUGGGGAAUAUUGGACAAUGGGCACAAGCCUGAUCCAACCAUGCCGCGUGAGUGAUGAAGG
RNAcentral lists this ribosomal RNA (358 nucleotides) under uncultured bacterium. RNAcentral describes it as "bacterial SSU rRNA". It matches the Rfam family "Bacterial small subunit ribosomal RNA", at positions 29 to 414 of the family's 1533-position model. The record is from RNAcentral.